RNAcentral lists this long non-coding RNA (644 nucleotides) under Nicotiana benthamiana. RNAcentral's name for it is "long non-coding RNA (NBEN_LNC006924)". Lineage: Eukaryota; Viridiplantae; Streptophyta; Magnoliopsida; Solanales; Solanaceae. The record is from RNAcentral.
CCAUGAUUUGAGUUUAUAAACACCUCAGGGAUCCAAAACCAAUUGGCCCUUCCAGCAGUAACAGAAUUUGAAGGACUAAAUGCAUGGAAAUCAGUAAUUCUAAUAAUAACUCUAUUACAAUUCUAAUGUGAGAAUCAGAAGAAACAUAAUUUCAUAUUAAGGAUGCUGAGCUAAAAGAAUUAACAUAACCGUUGGAGAAAAUAGACUAAGUAACAUCAAAAUUUAACACCCAGAAAAAUAGAACAUGAUCUUCAUAUAUCUCCAUCACAAAACACUUCCAAAGCCAUUUUACAUGGAUGCAGUUAAAUUGUGUACCUCACAAAAUGAAAUAAGGAAGGAGGAGAAAUUGAGCAAUAGAAAAUAGCAGGAACAAUGUUCAGCAACCAAAUCAACAUAGAAAUAACCAAGGAAAUCCUACUUUAAUCCAGACUUGAACCAGCAAUAGUAUCAAAUAAACCCAGUAAUCAGAAACACAACCAAAACCUGAAUCAAAUACUUGAAUACCGACAAAAAUUCAACUCAUUUUUACCUCUAGUUGUUCAGGAAUUGUUUCAGAAGUAAGAAACUUUAAAGAUCACCAAAUUUCUCAAUGGAACAAUAUUUGUUUUGCUAUUUUUAAAUGUUUUUGAUUUUUUAGGAUUUCU